RNAcentral lists this ribosomal RNA (274 nucleotides) under uncultured Prevotella sp. RNAcentral's name for it is "partial 16S ribosomal RNA". It matches the Rfam family "Bacterial small subunit ribosomal RNA", at positions 82 to 355 of the family's 1533-position model. The record is from RNAcentral. Lineage: Bacteria; Pseudomonadati; Bacteroidota; Bacteroidia; Bacteroidales; Prevotellaceae.
UUUAUGAUGGCGACCGGCGCACGGGUGAGUAACGCGUAUCCAACCUACCCAUUACUAGGGAAUAACCCAGCGAAAGUUGGCCUAAUGCCCUAUGUAGUCGUUUGAUCGCCUGAGAUUUCGACGAAAGAUUUAUCGGUAUUGGAUGGGGAUGCGUCUGAUUAGCUUGUUGGCGGGGUAAAGGCCCACCAAGGCAACGAUCAGUAGGGGUUCUGAGGGGAAGGUCCCCCACAUUGGAACUGAGACACGGUCCAAACUCCUACGGGAGGCAGCAGCU